AAACGCUUUACCACCCCACACAAGGUUACGAAACAGACGCCAUUUUGGCUCAACUGUGCGUCGCUAGCGUGGGAAUUUCACACUCCUCCAGCGUAUCAUUGAGCCAAAAUGUCCCUCCCUUACUGCAGCUCGUAGUAACCUUCUCCAUUAAACCUUCGGGGGAGGGAUAUACAAGAGCUGUCGCACAAACUACUUCUUCCUUCACUUCUGUGGAGCACAGGAAAAUGGCCUAGCUGUGACUGGAGAUAUCCUGCAGAUGUCAAAAACAUUGUCGCUUGCUUACAUGACACAAAGUAUGUUGGAUUUUUCCCGCGGAGUUUCAUGGCUGAAUCGUGCGUGAAGAUGAUGAUGAUGAUGAUUAUGGGGAUUCCACCGAUUUGCCUGUCCAAUGUGUGUGAAACUGGAUGAGACAAGGGCUCUAUCAGGAGCCUUUGUGCAGAUAUACCUGCAGUUACUGAAGAGGACCUCUGGGCAGGUUCACGCGGCACUUGGCAGGGUGGAGUUUUUUGACCCAUGGAGAAUUACUUUCAGGCUGAGGCCUUUAACUUGGACAAGGUGCUGGAUGAGUUUGAACAGAACGAAGAUGAAACGGACACGCCGACUCUCUCGGAUGCCAAGUGGACCCAGAUUCUCGCCCCGCCAUCACACCUCCUUUCCCUAAAUCCAGCACUGACCCACUCCGAUCUCAGCCCAAGGGACAGUCCUAUCAGCUUCAAGCCGCUUGUAGAUGCCCAGACGUCAGAUGGCCCCUCUUUGGCUGAGCUCACCAGAUUAGAUGGGAAACAGGGGGUGGGGCAUCAGCCAGAGGGUAGGAGUGAAGAACGGCCAGCAGAUGUCCACAGUCCUCCUCUGCCUCAGCCCAACAUUGGCAAGCUGGUGAGCACUGAUGGGCAGUUGUCAGACUUGCCAUCGUCCAACAGAGUGGUGCUGGAAAACGGUUAUCCAUCUAAUCCUGAUCUUAGUGAUCGCACUGACGUUCUUUCAGUCAACGAAGAUGAGACAUGUCAAACUGUUAUGGAUGAGCAAAGUGUUAAGGACACUGGUCCCCAAGAGUUUAAAACUGAACAGAAUGGUACUGAUGAGGGAAGUGGUGGUGGUCUUCAAGCUUUCACUGUUCUCGAGGAAGAGUGUGGGAAUGGGCCACCAGUUUUGAAUAAUGAUGUUAAGAUAGAGGGAACCCAGUCUGACAGUGGUUCACCUGUCCGUGAAGUCGGAAUGAGCAACUGCAAUCUGGUAUUUCCAGAAGGAAGUAAUCCCCAGAAAGGGGAACUGGAUUGUGAGAGGGAGAAUUGUGAGGGUGCCUUUCAAAAUGGCGGACUGGUUGAGAAUGAAAUUGCAGGGAAAGACACCUGGGCAUCAAAUCAGGAAGAGAAAGAGAAAAUGAUAGAGAGUGACCACGAGGGAAUGCACAGAGACUCUGAAUCAUCAGGGGCGGAGAAGUCCCUUUCCAAUGGUCUGAUUGUGGAUCAUGGUGGAGAUGCGCAAAGCCAGUCAGUGGUCCCUUCAAAGGAGGACUCUGUGAUGGAGGAAAAAGAAAUGGAGGAAAGCAAACAAGAGUGUUGUGAUUCAGUUCGAGGACUGGAAUCUGGCAGAAUGGGCAAACUCAACAACAGCCGGCUGCAGCCUGUCAGCGUUCCCUAUGGUGGUGCCCGCCCAAAACAGCCUGUCAGUCUGAAGCUGCAGAUUCCCCAGCCUUUCUCAAGCCAAGUCCAGAAUGAAUUUGGCUCCACUGGCAAGAACAAGAACCUGGAGCCACAGAGUAGGGCAGGAGGCCUUGAGGUGUCUUGUGGAGCAACUGAGACUGGGGUUGUUCGAAUGAAUGGAGAGAAUGGAGAUAGCUUUUCUGGCUUACUCAUCCCUUUUGAGAGUCCAGACAAUGACCUUCAGGCAGGACAGCAAUUGAAGAAACCCUUCAACUCUUUGGGGGAAGUGGCUCCUGUUUGGGUUCCUGACUCCCAAGCACCCAUUUGCAUGAAGUGUGAGGUCAAGUUCACCUUUACUAAAAGAAGGCAUCAUUGUCGGGCUUGUGGCAAGGUGUUCUGUGCUGCUUGUUGUAGUCUGAAAAGCAGGCUGAUGUACAUGGACAGGAAAGAAGCGAGGGUUUGUGUUACCUGCCAUCGUGCACUUAUGAAUGUUCAAACAUGGGAGAACAUGGGAGGAGGUUGCAACCAGAGCCCAAAUCCCAACAACCCAGCUGAGUACUGCUCCACUAUUCCCCCUCUGCAACAAGCCCAGGCAUCAGGAGCACUCAGCUCCCCACCCCCAACCGUAAUGGUGCCCGUUGGUGUCCUGAAACAGCCAGGAUCUGAAGGCUCUGUUCCUCGAGAGCAAAGAAGGGUUUGGUUUGCUGACGGCAUUUUACCAAAUGGGGAAGCUACAAACUCUUCUAUAGGGCCGGCGGCAAACCCCAACCCCACACAGCCUGUGGCAACGUCCCAGUACUCAAACAAAUCCUCAGGAGCCAAUGCUUCUGAGGCGGCCUUUGCCACUGGAGCCCCGACGGUCAGCCCUGUGGGGAGCUCUCUCAGUCUGAUCCCAGAGGACGGACUUCCUCCCAUCCUCAUCUCCACAGGCGUCAAAGGAGGUACGGGAGGCCACAUCACAGACUAUGCUGUGGAGGAAAGACCUUCAGAGAUUGUGCUGAUACAGCAGCUUGAGGAGGGCGGCCCUGAUCCCCUGGUGUUUGUCCUCAACGCCAACCUGCUGGCCAUGGUCAAACUGGUCAAUUAUGUAAAUAGGAAGUGCUGGUAUAUGACAACAAAGGGUAUGCAUGCCGUGGGCCAGGCAGAGGUUGUAGUGCUUCUACAGUGCCUUCCUGACGAGAAAACCAUUCCCACGGACGUCUUCAGCCACUUCGUCCAGCUGUACCAGGAGGCUCUCACAGGAAAUGUGUUAAGUCACUUGGGCCAUUCCUUCUUCACUCAGAGCUUCCUGGGCAGCAAGGAACACGGCGGCUUCCUUUACAUUAGCCCCACCUUCCAAACCCUGCAGGACCUGCCUUUGCCUAACCCACCCUACCUCUUUGGCAUCCUUGUGCAGAAGUGGGAGACCCCCUGGGCCAAGGUCUUUCCCAUCCGACUCAUGCUCCGCCUAGGGGCGGAAUACCGAUUCUACCCCUGCCCACUAUUUAGCGUUCGUUUCAGAAAACCCCUCUUUGGAGAGACUGGUCAUACCAUUAUGAACUUAUUGGCAGAUUUCCGUAACUACCAGUACACCUUGCCAGUGGUGAAGGGGCUGGUGGUGGACAUGGAAGUGAGGAAGACGUGCAUCAAGAUACCGAGCAACCGUUACAAUGAGCUCACGAAGGCUAUGAAUAAGUCAAACGAGCAUGUGCUGGCAAUGGGAGCAUGCUUCAACGAACGGGCGGAUUCCCAUCUUGUAUGUGUUCAGAACGACGAUGGAAACUACCAGACGCAGGCCAUCAGUAUUCAUCACCAGCCUCGCAAAGGUGCACCACGGACACUUGAAUUUGCAAAUGAAACCUUAAAGCCGUACCCACAGAUUUCACGCAUGACUGGGGCCUCCUUCUUUGUGUUCAGCGGGGCUUUAAAGUCUUCAUCGGGCUACUUGGCUAAGACCAGCAUUGUGGAAGAUGGCGUGAUGGUGCAGAUUACAGCUGAAAUGAUGGAGGCCUUAAGGCAAGCCCUGAGAGAGAUGAAAGAUUUCAGGAUUGCCUGCGGGAAAGCUGAUCAGGAGGAGAACCAGGAGCACGUCCAAAUCCAGUGGGUUGAUGAUGACCACAAUGUCAACAAGGGUGUGAUCAGCCCCAUUGAUGGAAAAUCCAUGGAGUCAGUCACAAGUGUUAAGAUCUUCCAUGGCACUGAGUAUAAAGCCAAUGGGAAAGUCAUCCGUUGGACAGAGGUGUUCUUCCUGCGGAGUGAGGACCAGACCAAUGGUCUGAGCGAUCCUGCGGACCACAGCCGAGUAACUGAGAAUGUGGCCAGGGCUUUCUGCAUGGCCCUGUGCCCUCACCUCAAACUUCUCAAAGAGGACGGCAUGGCCAAACUGGGCCUGCGGGUCACGUUGGGCUCAGAUCAGGUGGGCUACCUAGCAGGCAGUAACGGUCAGCCGCUGCUCCCCCAGUACCUGAGUGAUCUAGACAGCGCCCUCAUCCCAGUGAUCCACAGCGGGGCCUGCCAGCUAAGUGAAGGGCCUGUGGUGAUGGAGCUCAUCUUCUACAUCCUGGAGAUCAUCUCCUAAAACGAGGGAAUCCGUCCAGUCUCAGACUCAUGCCUCCCACCAGCUCGAAUCCCUCUUCGCUCUCUUUCUCUCAUUUGCACUUCAAAGAACCUGAAAGCUGUGCAGGAACAAGUCCUCCAUACCACCUAUGCACCAUCUCCACUGGGACGCCCUCUGCCCAGCCCCGCUGAAUGUGGUGCUCUCUUUCGUUUCUUCUCACCUCUCAACUCCACUGUGGAAACCAUAGCCCCUUUUGAGUCAAAAGGGGUGGCGACCCUGAAUUCGAUCUCUACAAAACCGUUGUAGCAACACUAAGCUCCUCAAACACAAGAGGGCGCUCUACACGCUCAGUACUAAUGGAGACGACCGACAGAAGGGAAGGUGUGCUCCAUGAAAUGGUUUUGGGUCACAGUGCAUGGGCCUCAAUAAGAAACGAAGAAAGAGUUUCAGUCUCGCCUCUAAGCUUUAUGAAUCACCAGAUGCUUUAUUUCAUGAAUAUGGACCUUAUUUUGUUUAAAACUGCUCUAAAGCUAAAAUGAUGUAGCUUCCUCAUAGAUGGGCUGCUUUGCAUGGUAGCGGAAAGAUUGUGGAACAGUAUUAGGAAUGUUGACGAUUGAGUUACUGUUAAGUAAUGUCAAGAACGGACCUCUGUUAUAGACUUUAUUAUCAUUACAAGACAAUAAGAACCAACGAUAAUUUCAAGCGGCCUUCAGGAAUUCAACUGUAACUUCAAGAUCCACAUAAUGAUGGCCUACGCUUGAUGAAUGAGGACAGCAGCUGAUAUGAAGAUCCACAGCAAGUGAACCUCACAGCCCUUUAUUAACAGUUCAACAGUUGAGACAUAAAUCAUGUGUUUUUGGCUUUUGGUGAAGAGCACCGACAGCUUUGGAAGCAGACUGUUCAUGAAAAAUAAAUGGCAUUUCAUGAAAGCUGCAUUGUCUUCCCACUAACACAGCUCAAAACAGCCUUUUGUUACUCCCUGUAUUCACCUUUGUCAUUGUUUUUCUACCUGUGCAGUAUUGUAUAUCUUGACAUUUAUGUAUUUUGUUAACCAUGGCCUUUUUCCAUGUAAUUUCUUUUUGUUUUUUUUUUGACCAGCCCAAAGCGUGAUACAGCAUGCAUGCUGAAACCAACAAGAACAUGUAGUUCUCCAAAAAUCUUUGCAUUUUGACAGCAUUUCAGAGGAUGAUCUGCUCGAAAGAACAGUUUUACAUUCUAUUGAUUUGAUCUGUGAUGAAACACUGUCAAAACCUGACAUGGGUGGAAUGGGAAUAAAUUUGCAAUGUACGAAAAGGAAAAAAUACAACUUUUCUUUAUUGUACACUACAUAUGUCAAUACAAGCAGUCUUUAUCAAA
Molecule: RNA transcript, 5535 nt
Organism: Carassius carassius (crucian carp)
Lineage: Eukaryota; Metazoa; Chordata; Actinopteri; Cypriniformes; Cyprinidae
Gene name: zinc finger FYVE domain-containing protein 9-like
Exons: 20
Source: RefSeq, a predicted model, not a curated record